RNAcentral lists this ribosomal RNA (465 nucleotides) under Vreelandella stevensii. RNAcentral's name for it is "partial 16S ribosomal RNA". It matches the Rfam family "Bacterial small subunit ribosomal RNA", at positions 338 to 795 of the family's 1533-position model. The record is from RNAcentral. Lineage: Bacteria; Pseudomonadati; Pseudomonadota; Gammaproteobacteria; Oceanospirillales; Halomonadaceae.
CCUACGGGGGGCUGCAGUGGGGAAUAUUGGACAAUGGGGGCAACCCUGAUCCAGCCAUGCCGCGUGUGUGAAGAAGGCCCUCGGGUUGUAAAGCACUUUCAGUGAGGAAGAACGCCUGGUGGUUAAUACCCAUCAGGAAAGACAUCACUCACAGAAGAAGCACCGGCUAACUCCGUGCCAGCAGCCGCGGUAAUACGGAGGGUGCGAGCGUUAAUCGGAAUUACUGGGCGUAAAGCGCGCGUAGGUGGCUUGAUAAGCCGGUUGUGAAAGCCCGGGGCUCAACCUGGGAACGGCAUCCGGAACUGUCAAGCUAGAGUGCAGGAGAGGAAGGUAGAAUUCCCGGUGUAGCGGUGAAAUGCGUAGAGAUCGGGAGGAAUACCAGUGGCGAAGGCGGCCUUCUGGACUGACACUGACACUGAGGUGCGAAAGCGUGGGUAGCAAACAGGAUUAGAUACCCCGGUAGUC